Molecule: long non-coding RNA, 824 nt
Filed under: Elaeis guineensis (African oil palm)
Lineage: Eukaryota; Viridiplantae; Streptophyta; Magnoliopsida; Arecales; Arecaceae
Description: long non-coding RNA (EGUI_LNC078504)
Source: RNAcentral
GUUACAGUGGUUCAGUUGCAUCGAAAAGACGCAACCAUGUCCAUUAGGCAUUGGAUGCUAUGGAUGUUGAGGAUGGAUUGUGCUCAAUAUUCUGGAUAUGGUGAGAGACGCAAUCAGAAAUCUAAUUCGUGCAAAUGGUGGGUCUGACUUAACUAAGGAUUGGAGCAAUAUUUCGGACACAGUGAGCUUCAUGAAUUAGAGACCAAGUUUUGGGUGCACCAUGAUUAGAGAAUCAUUGGAUAAGAGUUAUCCACUCAUCAGUUGACCCAUCACCAAUAACUGUUAGGUGUUGCUCCUAGAUUGAUUUUGAUGAUUACAAAGCAGAUUGAAGGGAUACAAAUAAUUUUAAAAUGAAAAAGUCCCUAUGCUCUUCAAGGACAAAAUUGUAAUUUCACUAAAAUCUUGAUUUGAUAGUACCAUUUGGUAGAAUAAAUGAUUUGAAAUCUAUUGGUGAAAAUUUCAUUGUGUUUGGACUUAUAUUUUUGAAGUUAUGAAGGUUUGAAGUGCAUGAGUCGACUCAUGAGUCAACUCAUGGCACUGUGAGCUGAUUGGCACGCAAAAAUUCUUCUUGGCACGCUAGUUUUCUGGCUUGGCAGGACCUGUGAGUCGACUCAUGAGUCGACCCACAAGGCAUGAGUCGACUCAUGAGUCGACCCCUGCUAAUUUGAGCCAAGAAUUUCCAGAAAAGCAUUCUCUGGUUUUUGCAACAGAGGUUGACUCAUGAGUCGACCCCUGAAGCAUGAGUCGACUCAUGAGUCGACCCCUGCGACGGGAAAUGUCAGCAAUGGCUAUUUUUUUUGCCCGUUUUAAUUACCAUUUAUGCU